This 752-nucleotide ribosomal RNA is filed under the name Sphingobacterium siyangense. Its description in RNAcentral is "bacterial SSU rRNA". It matches the Rfam family "Bacterial small subunit ribosomal RNA", at positions 1 to 747 of the family's 1533-position model. The record is from RNAcentral. Lineage: Bacteria; Pseudomonadati; Bacteroidota; Sphingobacteriia; Sphingobacteriales; Sphingobacteriaceae.
UGGNNNNUUUAUCAUGGCUCAGGAUGAACGCUAGCGGCAGGCCUAAUACAUGCAAGUCGGACGGGAUCCAUCGGAGAGCUUGCUCGAAGAUGGUGAGAGUGGCGCACGGGUGCGUAACGCGUGAGCAACCUACCUCUAUCAGGGGGAUAGCCUCUCGAAAGAGAGAUUAACACCGCAUAACAUAUUUGNCCGGCAUCGGUUAGUUAUUAAAUAUUUAUAGGAUAGAGAUGGGCUCGCGUGACAUUAGCUAGUUGGUAGGGUAACGGCUUACCAAGGCGACGAUGUCUAGGGGCUCUGAGAGGAGAAUCCCCCACACUGGUACUGAGACACGGACCAGACUCCUACGGGAGGCAGCAGUAAGGAAUAUUGGUCAAUGGGCGGAAGCCUGAACCAGCCAUGCCGCGUGCAGGAUGACUGCCCUAUGGGUUGUAAACUGCUUUUGUCCAGGAAUAAACCUANAUACGUGUAUUUAGCUGAAUGUACUGGAAGAAUAAGGAUCGGCUAACUCCGUGCCAGCAGCCGCGGUAAUACGGAGGAUCCGAGCGUUAUCCGGAUUUAUUGGGUUUAAAGGGUGCGUAGGCGGCCUAUUAAGUCAGGGGUGAAAUACGGUGGCUCAACCAUCGCAGUGCCUUUGAUACUGAUGGGCUUGAAUCCAUUUGAAGUGGGCGGAAUAAGACAAGUAGCGGUGAAAUGCAUAGAUAUGUCUUAGAACUCCGAUUGCGAAGGCAGCUCACUAAGCUGGUAUUGACGCU